AACACUCACUAAUGAUCCGAUGGA
Molecule: non-coding RNA, 24 nt
Filed under: Arabidopsis thaliana (thale cress)
Lineage: Eukaryota; Viridiplantae; Streptophyta; Magnoliopsida; Brassicales; Brassicaceae
Source: RNAcentral